UACGGGGGGGCAAGCGUUGUUCGGAAUUACUGGGCGUAAAGGGCCAGUAGGCGGCCAACUAAGUCGGAUGUGAAAUCCCCAGGCUCAACCUGGGAACUGCGUCUGAUACUGGAUGGCUUGAAUCCGGGAGAGGGAUGCAGAAUUCCAGGUGUAGCGGUGAAAUGCGUAGAUAUCUGGAGGAAUACCGGUGGCGAAGGCGGCAUCCUGGACCGGCAUUGACGCUGAGGAGCGAAAGCCAGGGGAGCAAACGGG
RNAcentral lists this ribosomal RNA (252 nucleotides) under uncultured bacterium. RNAcentral describes it as "partial 16S ribosomal RNA". It matches the Rfam family "Bacterial small subunit ribosomal RNA", at positions 524 to 776 of the family's 1533-position model. The record is from RNAcentral.